RNAcentral lists this ribosomal RNA (253 nucleotides) under uncultured bacterium. Its description in RNAcentral is "partial 16S ribosomal RNA". It matches the Rfam family "Bacterial small subunit ribosomal RNA", at positions 524 to 776 of the family's 1533-position model. The record is from RNAcentral.
UACGUAGGUGGCAAGCGUUAUCCGGAUUUAUUGGGCGUAAAGGGAACGCAGGCGGUCUUUUAAGUCUGAUGUGAAAGCCUUCGGCUUAACCGGAGUAGUGCAUUGGAAACUGGGAGACUUGAGUGCAGAAGAGGAGAGUGGAACUCCAUGUGUAGCGGUGAAAUGCGUAGAUAUAUGGAAGAACACCAGUGGCGAAAGCGGCUCUCUGGUCUGUAACUGACGCUGAGGUUCGAAAGCGUGGGGAUCAAACAGG